RNAcentral lists this transfer RNA (69 nucleotides) under Togoperla sp. KW-2014. Its description in RNAcentral is "tRNA-Met". It matches the Rfam family "tRNA". Rfam says of the family: Transfer RNA (tRNA) molecules are approximately 80 nucleotides in length. Their secondary structure includes four short double-helical elements and three loops (D, anti-codon, and T loops). Further hydrogen bonds mediate the characteristic L-shaped molecular structure. tRNAs have two regions of fundamental functional importance: the anti-codon, which is responsible for specific mRNA codon recognition, and the 3' end, to which the tRNAs corresponding amino acid is attached (by aminoacyl-tRNA synthetases). tRNAs cope with the degeneracy of the genetic code in two manners: having more than one tRNA (with a specific anti-codon) for a particular amino acid; and 'wobble' base-pairing, i.e. permitting non-standard base-pairing at the 3rd anti-codon position. The record is from RNAcentral. Lineage: Eukaryota; Metazoa; Arthropoda; Insecta; Plecoptera; Perlidae.
AGAAAGAUAAGCUAAUUAAGCUAGUGGGUUCAUACCCCGCAUAUAGAGGUUCCCAUCCUCUUUUUUCUA